Molecule: ribosomal RNA, 914 nt
Filed under: methanogenic prokaryote enrichment culture B31_3_102
Description: bacterial SSU rRNA
Rfam family: Bacterial small subunit ribosomal RNA
Source: RNAcentral
AGAGUUUGAUCCUGGCUCAGGAUGAACGCUAGCGGCAGGCUUAACACAUGCAAGUCGAGGGGCAUCACGAGUAGCAAUACUUGGUGGCGACCGGCGCAAGGGUGCGUAACGCGUGAGCAACAUGCCCGUAUCAGGGGGAUAAUCCAGGGAAACUUGGUCUAAUACCCCAUAGCAAUUGAAGGAGGCAUCUUCUUUGAUUUAAAGCUUUGGUGGAUACGGAUUGGCUCGCGUGACAUUAGCUAGAUGGUAAGGUAACGGCUUACCAUGGCUACGAUGUCUAGGGGUUCUGAGAGGAAGGUCCCCCACACUGGAACUGAGACACGGUCCAGACUCCUACGGGAGGCAGCAGUGAGGAAUAUUGGACAAUGGAUGGAAAUCUGAUCCAGCCAUGCCGCGUGCAGGAAGACGGCCCUAUGGGUUGUAAACUGCUUUUAUAUGGGAGCAAUAAGACCUACGUGUAGGUCGAUGAGAGUACCAUAUGAAUAAGCACCGGCUAACUCCGUGCCAGCAGCCGCGGUAAUACGGAGGGUGCAAGCGUUAUCCGGAUUUAUUGGGUUUAAAGGGUGCGUAGGCGGUUUGAUAAGUCAGCGGUGAAAUAUUUCAGCUUAACUGGAAGGGUGCCGUUGAUACUGUCGAGCUUGAAUUUAGUUGCUGUGGGUGGAAUGUGUGGUGUAGCGGUGAAAUGCAUAGAUAUCACACAGAAUAUCGAUUGCGAAGGCAGCUCACAAAGCUAAUAUUGACGCUGAUGCACGAAAGUGUGGGGAUCAAACAGGGAUUAGAUACCCUGGUUAGUCCACACUGUAAACGAUGAUAACUCGCUGUCGGCGAUACACAGUCGGUGGCCAAGCGAAAGCGAUAAGUUAUUCCACCUGGGGGAGUACGACCGCAAGGUUGAAACUCCAAGGAAUUGACGG